This 216-nucleotide ribosomal RNA is filed under the name Glomeromycotina sp. RNAcentral describes it as "partial small subunit ribosomal RNA". The stretch from base 40 to 216 matches the Rfam family "Eukaryotic small subunit ribosomal RNA", at positions 686 to 864 of the family's 1831-position model. Lineage: Eukaryota; Fungi; Glomeromycota. The record is from RNAcentral.
GGGUCAGUAGGUUGGUCGUGCCACCGGUACGUACUGGUCUCACUGAUUCCUCCUUCCUGAAGAACCGUAAUGCCAUUAAUUUGGUGUUGCGGGGAAACAGGACUGUUACUUUGAAAAAAUUAGAGUGUUUAAAGCAAGCUAACGCUUGAAUACACUAGCAUGGAAUAAUGAAAUAGGACGAUCGAUCCUAUUUUGUUGGUUUUUAGGAUUGACGUA